Molecule: transfer RNA, 88 nt
Filed under: Pedobacter chitinilyticus
Lineage: Bacteria; Pseudomonadati; Bacteroidota; Sphingobacteriia; Sphingobacteriales; Sphingobacteriaceae
Description: tRNA-Leu
Rfam family: tRNA
About the family: Transfer RNA (tRNA) molecules are approximately 80 nucleotides in length.
Source: RNAcentral
GCUGAAGUGGUGGAACUGGUAGACACGCAGGACUUAAAAUCCUGUGCCCUCAACAGGCGUGCGGGUUCGAUUCCCGCCUUCAGUACAA